UUUGUGGACGUUGCCAUUUUGUUGGCGACUCCUACGACCCCACGAUUGAAAACACAUUUACGAAAAUGAUCACCGUGAACGGUCAGGAGUAUCACCUGCAGCUGGUGGACACAGCGGGACAGGACGAGUACUCUAUCUUCCCUCAGACGUACUCUAUAGACAUCAAUUGAUAUA
Molecule: RNA transcript, 174 nt
Organism: Cyprinus carpio (common carp)
Lineage: Eukaryota; Metazoa; Chordata; Actinopteri; Cypriniformes; Cyprinidae
Gene name: Ras homolog, mTORC1 binding
Exons: 3
Source: RefSeq, a predicted model, not a curated record